GAUGAACGCUGGCGGCGUGCCUAAUACAUGCAAGUCGAGCGAACGGACGAGAAGCUUGCUUCUCUGAUGUUAGCGGCGGACGGGUGAGUAACACGUGGAUAACCUACCUAUAAGACUGGGAUAACUUCGGGAAACCGGAGCUAAUACCGGAUAAUAUUUUGAACCGCAUGGUUCAAAAGUGAAAGACGGUCUUGCUGUCACUUAUAGAUGGAUCCGCGCUGCAUUAGCUAGUUGGUAAGGUAACGGCUUACCAAGGCAACGAUGCAUAGCCGACCUGAGAGGGUGAUCGGCCACACUGGAACUGAGACACGGUCCAGACUCCUACGGGAGGCAGCAGUAGGGAAUCUUCCGCAAUGGGCGAAAGCCUGACGGAGCAACGCCGCGUGAGUGAUGAAGGUUUUCGGAUCGUAAAACUCUGUUAUUAGGGAAGAACAUAUGUGUAAGUAACUGUGCACAUCUUGACGGUACCUAAUCAGAAAGCUACGGCUAACUACGUG
This 497-nucleotide ribosomal RNA is filed under the name uncultured bacterium. RNAcentral describes it as "partial 16S ribosomal RNA". It matches the Rfam family "Bacterial small subunit ribosomal RNA", at positions 28 to 507 of the family's 1533-position model. The record is from RNAcentral.